Non-coding RNA from Morchella snyderi, 104 nucleotides. The record is from the annotation of a GenBank genome assembly. NCBI's taxonomy places the organism in Eukaryota, Fungi, Ascomycota, Pezizomycetes, Pezizales, Morchellaceae.
GUCUUCAUGGCUUAGUUGGUUAAAGCGUCGGUCUCAUAGGAAAUAUGACCAACCCAUUAGAGUUGGAUAUCCGAAGGUCGCGAGUUCGACUCUCGCUGAGGACA